ACAACUCUAUGCGGGUCGAAUAAAAACCCAGACGG
RNAcentral lists this ribosomal RNA (35 nucleotides) under Geloina coaxans. RNAcentral describes it as "partial 5.8S rRNA". Lineage: Eukaryota; Metazoa; Mollusca; Bivalvia; Venerida; Cyrenidae. The record is from RNAcentral.